GGUUGUUUAUGCCCAUUAAUGACCGUGACAUGUAGUCGAUAACCGUUUAUAACAAUUAGAUGUGUAGGUUUCACAUAUUUCAACCUUAUGUGAUCAUAGAAAGAUAAGCUGACUAUAUGUCGGUAAUAAUAGUAGGUCGAUGGAGAUCCGAAUGAGCAUCGGACGAUAACUCUGAUAUACCGAUGAUCAUUAGUCAGAUAUUAAAUGAGUCGUCGUGGUUGUCCGUUAUUGAUUGAUAAUAGCUGACUGUCGAUUGAUUAACUGAUUGUUAGUCAGAGUAUUGUAUUUAUAAGGUCGAUGUAGAG
Molecule: long non-coding RNA, 305 nt
Filed under: Elaeis guineensis (African oil palm)
Lineage: Eukaryota; Viridiplantae; Streptophyta; Magnoliopsida; Arecales; Arecaceae
Description: long non-coding RNA (EGUI_LNC030883)
Source: RNAcentral